AUAUCAGUAAGCGGAGGAAAAGAAACUAACGAGGGUUCCCUCAGUAACGGCGAGUGAACGGGGAAGAGCCCAGCGCUAAAUCCUGUUGCUCUAACGGGUAACGGGAGGUGUAGCGUAUAGUAGGCGAAUUUCCUUGAUGGCUGUCGACUUAAAUUCUCCUUGACUGGGGUUCCAGAGAAGGUGAAAGGCCUGUUCAGUCGAUGGCCGUCUUGGAUUCCGUUCUACUUGGAGUCGGGUUGUUUGGGAGCGCAGCCCAAAUUGGGUGGUAAACUUCAUCUAAGGCUAAAUACGGCCACGAAACCGAUAGCAAACAAGUACCGUGAGGGAAAGUUGAAAAGUACUUUGAAGAGAGAGUUCAAGAGGACGUGAAACCGGUAGGAUGGAAACGGAUAGAGCCAACGAACAAGCCCGUAUUCAGCUAGUCGGCUGCGUGCGGCAUGCCUGUGUGCUCGUUCAGGGUGCAUGGGUGUGUGCGGUAUGCGGUCGGCUAGUGCAUUUGCGGGUGAUGUGCGCUGAGGCGUGUGGCGGAGUCCUGCAAACUGUCUGGAGAGGCCUCGCCUUCGGGCUUGAAACCUACGGACGGGGAGUCGGGUUUCUGCUG
RNAcentral lists this ribosomal RNA (601 nucleotides) under uncultured fungus. Its description in RNAcentral is "eukaryotic LSU rRNA". It matches the Rfam family "Eukaryotic large subunit ribosomal RNA", at positions 40 to 525 of the family's 3401-position model. Lineage: Eukaryota; Fungi. The record is from RNAcentral.